This 474-nucleotide long non-coding RNA is filed under the name Glycine max (soybean). RNAcentral's name for it is "long non-coding RNA (GMAX_LNC002939)". The record is from RNAcentral. Lineage: Eukaryota; Viridiplantae; Streptophyta; Magnoliopsida; Fabales; Fabaceae.
GCUUCUAGGAAAGGGGUGAACCGGAACAACCGGAGGUUUAACAGGAGGGUGAACCGGAACAACCGGAGGUUUAACAGGAGGGUGAGCCGGAACAGGAGGUUUAACUGGAGGGUGAACCGGAACAGGAGGUUUAACUGGAGGGUGAACCGGAACAGGAGGUUUAACUGGAGGAUGAACCGGAACAGGAGGUGGAUUAACAGGAGCAGGAGGGUGAUGGUGAUGGUGGUGAGUAGGAGGCUUAGCAGGGGCAGGGGUAGGAGGGUAAUUGUGGUGAGAAGGUGAAGGAACAGGUGCUGGUGCUGGUGCUGGUGCUGGAGGGUGGUGGUGGUGGUGGUGGUGGUGUGGGUGAGGAGCAUUUGCUGGUGGGUGAAGAGGUGCUGGUGUGGGGGAGUGAACAGGGUGAGGGUGAGGGUAAGAGGGUGGAAGAGUUUCAAGUUCAAGCUCUACAGCAAACACAUUACUCACAGCUACGAG